CGUUGAUAAUUUCUGCGAUUUGGUGUAAUUGUGAUCACAAAGGGCCGUCUAAGUGAAAACUGGUUUCGCCGAACGAAUAAGAUAUUUUCUGCAUGGUUUUCACUUCCUGGAUGAUGGACCCCACAAUGAUGGGCUAGGUUCCAUUAUGUGGAUAUGAGAUCGACCUAUUUCUUUCCGGAACUUGUUUUAUUCUUUAAACAAGUAUCCAGAGUGGCUAUUUUGAUGGCGCCAAAAGCCAAUCCGAACAAAAUGGAUUCCGGCUUGGAUUGCAUGCGUGCAUGCUUUAUAUGAUGGCUGUCGUCGAGGGAUACACUUUAGUUUAAGACAUAAAUACAC
Uranotaenia lowii is the source of this 336-nucleotide long non-coding RNA. RefSeq lists it as uncharacterized. NCBI's taxonomy places the organism in Eukaryota, Metazoa, Arthropoda, Insecta, Diptera, Culicidae. The transcript is spliced from 3 exons. The record is from RefSeq and is a predicted model, not a curated record.